Oryctolagus cuniculus (rabbit) is the source of this 13422-nucleotide non-coding RNA. Lineage: Eukaryota; Metazoa; Chordata; Mammalia; Lagomorpha; Leporidae. The record is from RefSeq and is a predicted model, not a curated record.
GCCUGAAGGGACUGCGCCUGAACGUAGACCGCCGCGUAGAGCGCCAGGCUGGCGGCCCGGCAACAGCGGCGCCCCCGGCGCCCGUGUAUCCCGCAGCCAACGCUGCUGUUGCUACCGUUCUUGUGGUUGGUGCCGGAGGGCGCGGCAGAGAGUCCCUGGGGUCUCCCCGUGGUGGCCGAUGGCCCAGCUUCCUUAGCAAAGGUGGUGAUGGCAGAACUGGCCAGCCUGAAGUUAGAAAACAAGCCAUGGCCUGGAGGGACACAUUCUCUCCACUAUCACUACCUGGCUCUGUCAGAGCCAGGCCCAAGCCUCCCUGAGUUUUUGGCUGUGGGUUAUGUGGAUGACCAGCCCUUCAUCCGAUAUGACAGUCGUACGGGCAGGGCUGAGCUUCGGGCCGCAUGGAUGGCACCUGUGGACACCCAGUACUGGGAGACAGAGACCCAGAAACAGAAGGCAUGGGAGAAAGUACAGCAGGUGGAGAUGUGGACAGUGAUGGGAUACCACAACCAGAGCAGUGGCACACACACUGCUCAACGCAUGUUUGGCUGUGAAGUCCAGGAGGAUGGCAGCUCCAGUAGCUUCUGGCAGUUUGGCUUCGAUGGGCAGGACCACCUGUCAUUGGAUGUGGAGACACUGAGCUGGGUAUCAGCUGAGCCAGUGGCCGUGAGGACAAAGCGCUGGUGGGAGACAGAGCGUUGCUAUGCUGAGUACGACAAAGCCUACCUAGAAGGCCUCUGUCUCACCUCCCUGCACAGGUACCUGGAGCUGGGAAGCCAGAGCCUCACCAGGAAAGAGCCUCCCAUGGUGCACAUAACAAAGCACAUGACCCAGGAUGGAACCACACUGAGGUGCUGGGCCCUGGGAUUCUACCCACAGGACAUCUCAUUGAACUGGUGGCUGGAUGGGGAGGAGCUGACGUUGGAGACUGAGCAUGUGGAGACCCGCCCCAGUGGAGAUGGCACCUACCAGACAUGGGUGGCUGUUCAGGUGCCGGCUGGGAAAGAGGCUUGGUACAGCUGCCACGUGCGGCAUCCUGGGCUGAACCAUACACUCACCGUGGCCUGGGAAUCACCUUCGAAUAGUGGGCUCAUUGCCAUGGCUAUCUCCACAGUCUUGAUCACCAUCAUGCUGAUAGCUGUAACUGUAAUAUGGUCCAAGAGGUGCCUUCAAGCCUGGAAUAAGAAGUCCUAUGUGCAAACCCCAGCCCCUGGUGCAGGGUUUCAAAAGGAAGAACAAUACUACAAACAAUUGUGUUAAUAGCCACUGUACACUCGUAGUAAGGGGACACCAAGCAAGGUUGAAAAAGAAGACAGUCCAGGAUGCCAGCAAGGAUUGCAGAGGGGAACCACCAAUUUGAAUGUUAAAGAAAAUAUAACACCAAAGAGGAAACCUGUUGAAAUGAAAUGGACACUAUGAGAAAGAGUGACGUGAUCGGCCCGUGUCCUGACUGUUGAUGUACAACUUACUACUUUAUCCCUUUUAUUAUUUUUUUUGUUCUACUUAAUACUAUUGGUUGAACUCUGUAAUUAACACACAAUUAUUCUUUGGUGUUUAAAUUUAACUGAAAAGUGAUCUUGUUAAAUAUAAGAGUGGGAAUAAGAGAGGGAGGAGAUGUACAGUUUGGGACAUGCUCAACCUGACUUGCCCCAAAUGGUAGAGUUAGAAAUGUGCCAGGGGAUUCCAAUUCAAUCCCAUCAAGGUGGCAUGUACCAAUGCCAUCUCACUAGUCCAAGUGAUCAAUUUCAGUUCACAAUUGAUUAUACUGAUAGGUCUGAGUCAAAGGGAUCAUAUAAACAAGACUAAUGUCUGCUAAUACUAACUGAUAGAAUAAAAAAGAGAGAGAAUGAUCCAACAUGGGAAGUGAGAUACACAGCAGACUCAUUGAAUGGCAGAUGUCCUAAACAGUACUCUGGCCUCAGACUCAGUCCUUAAGGCAUUUGGAUCUGGCUGAAAAGCCCAUGAGAGUAUUUUAGGCAUGGAAAACCAAGACACUCUGGUAAAAAAAAAAAAAAAAAAAAAAAAAAAAAAAAAAAAACACCACCUAAGUGAAAGAUCUCUGUGAGUGAGAUCCCAGUGGAAAGCAUGGGCCAUUAAAGAAGGAGGUACCUUUCUCUGAAGGGAGGUGUGAACCUCCACUUUGACUAUGACCUUGUCUAAAUAAGGUCAAAGUCAGCGAACUCAAAAGGCCUUGGCAGCUCAUGACAAGAGCCUAGGGAGAUUACUGACUACAUAAACAAGAGUGUCAAUUUGCUAAGUCAACAACAGGAUUCACUGUGCACUUGCUCCACAUGUAGGAUCUCUGUCCUUAAUAUGUUGUUCAAUGUGAAUUAAUGCUAUAACUAGUACUCAAAUAGUAUUUUACACUUUAUGUUCUGUGUGGGUGCAAACUGUUGAAAUCUUAAUAUAUACUAAAUUGAUCUUCUGUGUAUAAAGAUAAUUGAAAACGAAUCAUGGCCGGCGCCGCGGCUCACUAGGCUAAUCCUCCACUGGCACCCCAUGUUCUAGCCCCAGUAGGGGCACCAGUUCUGUCCCAGUUGCUCUUCUUCCAGUCCAUCUCUCUGCUGUGACCCAGGAAGGCUUUGGAGGAUGGCCCAAGUGCUUGAGUCUUGUACCCACAUGGGAGACCAGGAGGAAGCACCUGGCUCCUGGCUUUGGAUCGGUGCAGUGUACCAGACAUGGCGGCCAUUUGGGGGGGGGGGGUGAACCAAUGGAAAAAGGAAGACCUUUCUCUCUCUCUCUCACUGUCUAAUUCUGCCUGUCAAAAAAAAAAAAAAAAGAAAAAGAAAAUGAAUCUUGAUGUGAAUGGAAUGGGAGAAGGAGAGGGAGUUGGGAAGGUUGUGAGCAGGAGGGAAGUUACAGCGGGGGCCGGGGGGGAGCCAUUGUAAUCUUAAGCUGUACUUUGGAAAUUUAUAUUUGCCAAAUAAAUGUUUUAAAAAAUUCAAAAAAAAUAAAAUAAAAUAUCUGAUAUCUGGAUAUGAGUUUAGAAUAGGAAGAGCCUGAGUCUUGAAGCCAGAGAGGAGGAAAAGGCAGAAUCCCAGCAUCAAUAAGCACUUUGGAAGUCCUUUACCAGUCUCUGAGCCCAAGGAUUGGCAAACUUUCUGUAAGUGUCAGGUAGCAAAUAUUUUACACUUUCCAGCUGAAUACCAUAUCUAUCAACAUAUUCUUCCUCAUUUUUGUUUUAAUAUAAUUUCUGUAUUCUCUUUUUACAGACUUUUUAAAAUUUCAAAAUCAUUUUUUAUGUUCCAAAACCCCCUCAGCACCUAGCUGGGUUCGGGAGGCUAGCAAUCCUCCUGUGGUUAGGAGAAAUAUUGGUUGGGGAGAUGGCAGGGCCACAAGAAGGCUGAAAACUGAGCCUCCCUCUACACAGGAAAAAAUUACUGAAUCUUCACAACAUGAGAGAAUGUGAAAGAAGCCCCUAUCCUAGUUGCCACUUGGAUUUCAGGAGAGGGGCAGUGUAUUAGUUUCAUUUCUGCUACUGUAACAAAAUACCUGAGAUCUUGUAAUUUAUAAAAAAAAGCAGUUUACUUUGACUCAUACUUCUGUAAGCUAGAAAGUCUAAUAUCAAUGGCAGUAGGCUUCUAGCUACAUCACAACAUGGCAGUGGCCAUUCCAUGGUAACACAGAGCAAGCUAGCAAGGGAAAGCUCACUUUUCAUAACAAAGCCAUUGUUGUAAUAACCUAUCAACCCACUAAUGCAUAAAUGGAUUAAUCUACUUAUGAGGACAGAGCCUUCAUGAAUGCAAUCAACUCCCAAAGGUCCCACCUCUUAAUAUUACUGUAUUGGGGACCAGAUUUCUAAAAUGUGAACUUUUAUAGCAGGUGGUAAUUUAGAGGUUAAAUGAAGAUGAGAAAAUAGCUAAUACAUUUUACAAAUCUCCCUUUACCUAAGUUUUUUUUUUUCUUUGACAGGCAGAGUUAGACAGUGAGAGAGAGAGACAGAGAGAAAGGUCUUCCUUUUGUUGGUUCACCCCCCAAAUGGCCACUACGAUCCAAAGCCAAGAGCCAGGUGCUUCCUCCUGGUCUCCCAUGCAGGUGCAGGGCCCAAGCACUUGGGCCAUCCUCCACGGCCUUCCUGGGCCACAGCAGAGAGCUGGACUGGAAGAAGAGCAACCAGGACAGAAUCCAGCGUCCCAACCGGGACUAGAACCCGGGGUGCCAGCGCCGCAGACAGAUUAGCCUAGUGAGCUGCGGUGCCGGCCCUACAUAUUCUUGAGAAUAGAUAUUCUGUAUUCUCUGGAUGCUUCAUUUCUGCCUCACCAGUUCCCUCAAGACACUCCCUCUGUCUCAUCUCUUCUCCUAGUCUUUCUCUUUUCUUCAACUGUUCUUCCUACCUGGUCUCAGCUCCUUUGAAGAUAUAGGCAGGAGCAUGCUUUUACACAGUCCUUCUUCCCUUAAUCUUUUCUCCAGCUCCUCACCUACCCCUACUUUUCCAGCCACCCCAUCUAUGCUAGGCAGAACCUGAAUUUAGGAAUGGGGAAGUAUUCUGACCUGGAAGCUCAGUUCCAGUUCUCCUUGAUGCUCUGUGGCUGCCUGGGCUCAGUCCUGAUUUCCAGGAAGGCUGUCAGGUCGUAUACUAGAAACUACCAAAUAAAUAAAAAGCACCAAAAGGUGUCCCACCUUAGGUAGAUCAGACUCUCGCUCUCCAGACAUAAGGCUCUUACCACUAAAUAUGUGGUGGGGCCAAUGCUGUGGCUCAGUGGGUUAAAGCUGAAGCUUGCGGUGCCAGCAUCCCAUAUGAGUGCUGGCUGUUGUAGGCAUUUGGGAGUGAAGAUAUCUGUGUCUAUCUCUGCAUCUCUCUACCUUUCAAAAAUAUUUUUUAAAAAAAUAGAUUUUAAAAAACUAAAGAUUUUUUUAAAACUUUAUUUUAAUAACAAUAAAGCCUGAGGUCCGCGCUGUGGCACAGUGGGUUAACACCUUGGCCUGAAGCGCCAGCAUCCCAUAUGGGUGCCAGUUCAAGACCCAGCUACUCCACUUCCGAUCCAGCUCUCUGCUAUGGCCUGGGAUAGAAGUAGAAGAUGACCCAAGUCCUUGGGCCCCUGCUCCUGCAUGGGAAACCUGGAAGAAGCUCCUGGCUCCUGGCUUCGGAUCAGCGCAGCUCCGGCUGUUGCAGCCAAUUAGGGAGUGGACCAUCAGAUGGAAGACCUCUCUCUCUCUGCCACUCUUUUCUCUAUGUAACUCUGACUUUCAAACAAAUAAAUAAAUUCUUUUAAAAAAGAACAAUAAAUCCUUUAACAUGAAGGCCAAAAUCUUGCCUUCUCCCAGUAUUUCUUAUGGUUCCACCUGGAUUGUAUUCACCUGCCUAGACCAUCCCCAUUUCCAUGGCUUCUGACUGGUCUUCUGCACAAUGCCCAGACCUAUCCCACAGUCCAUCUCCCAACCAACACCCAACAGAAUGUGUUAGGAUCAAUCUGCUUUCUCAGAGGCUAUUAGAUCUCGUAUUUCUGCCUAAGAUAGUGUUAUGAUAUACAAGAAAACAAAACAAAGUGAGUUUUUCCUGUUCUUUUACCCAACAGUCAACACAGAAUACUUUGGUGAUUUCUUGUCACCAAAAUGUUUGGGCAUUUCUCCCUACCAACAAUCAAUUAAUUGUGCAAAUUAUAUAGGAGACACCAAGUUUAUGCCUCCAAUUCACUUGCUUUUCUGAUACUGUCUAGCUAGAGAUAGACUCAGGUCUCACAAGACCUCCCCCACUUCAGACUCUAGUCACAAAUAAUCUUGUUACUUAAACAUCUCCCUGACUAUAAAUUGGGGUUUCCACAACCCCUUCCUGAGGUUUGACUAAUUUGCUAUAGCAGCUCACAAAAUUCAGGAAAACAACUUUACUUACAUUUACUGCUUUACUAUAGAGGAUAUUACAGAGGAUAUGUUAGGUAGGAAGUUAGAAAUUAGUCUAUUGUGUCAGGAGGCCUAAGGAAAACAAAACACCUGAGGAAAGGAAGGUAGCAGCCUCCAGCAAUCUUGGAAGCAACCCAAGACGAUACUACACUACAAAGUCCUGCCCAUAUCCAUAUAACUUCACAAGUGGUCCCAGCCUUUUCCCCAAGGAAAGAAUUUCAGGAGAACCCUCUCUUCUUUUUUUAAAAAUUUUUUUAUUUAUUUUAUUUAUUAUUAUUAUUAUUUUUUGACAGUCAGAGUGGACAGUGAGAGAGAGAGACAGAGAGAAAGGUCUUCCUUUGCCGUUGGUUCACCCUCCAAUGGCCGCCGAAGCAGGCGCGCUGCAGCCGGCGCACGGCACUGAUCCGAUGGCAGGAGCCAGGUACUUCUCCUGGUCUCCCAUGGGGUGCAGGGCCCAAGCACUUGGGCCAUCCUCCACUGCACUCCCUGGCCACAGCAGAGAGCUGGCCUGGAAGAGGGACAACCAGGACAGAAUCCGUUGCCCCGACCGGGACUAGAACCCGGAGUGCCGGCGCCGAAAGGCGGAGGAUUAGCCGCCUAGUGAGCCGGGGCGCCGGCUGAGAACCCUCUCUUCUAAGUGGACUACCCAGUCUGAUAACACUGGUUAAUAAAACCUUGGGAGGAAGUUUACCUAUUUCACACUCAGCAUACCCUUUUUCCAGGAGAAGAGGGAGGAGAGUAAAAAACUGUGGAAAGAACUAGACCCUUCUCACUUAUAAGCCACGGUCUGAAUACAGACUGCUUUCAGCACUUUGCUGAGAUACCAGCUUGGCCUAUCAGGUAUAUUUCAGCUCUCAGUAUCUCCAGAGACACCCCUCUGGUCUUUUAGGUGCAUUUCUCUUAGCUCUCAGCUCUUGAUUCUUUGUUUAGAUGCCUGCACUAUCAGUUGUAUUCUUUCCAUUAAACUAUGUAGCUUGCUUAACCCAGUCUAAAUGGGUAGGCACUCUUUCAGAUUCUGUCUGGAGAAGUGUCCAUCUGUUCUGACAUAUACCCUAGCCCAUUAAACAUUGCUACUUUGGUUACCAUUACUCCUCUAUCUCAUGCCUGAAUUCUUUACUGGGCGAAAACAAUAACCUCUGGUCCACCCAUUUCUGCUAACAGAUACAGGGAAAUAGCCAGGUAGAAGAGAAGUGCAGAUCAAGGCAGGGAGUUUCUGUGCCCUCACCAGAGCACCAACCUGAAGCAGGAAUGAAUUGCUGUACCUAGCUGCUUGGGUCCAUUGUUUUGUGCUCAAUGAAGAAUGAAAACACAGAACCAGGGGUUGGCAUUGUUGUGCCUGCAAUACCAGCAUCCCAUAUUGGCUCCAGAUUGAGUCCCAGCUGCUGUACUUCUGAGCCAGCUCUCUGCUUAUGUGCCUGGGACAGCAGCAUAAGAUGGUCCAAGUGCUUGGGCCCCUGCACCCACAUGGGAAACUUGGAUGAAGCUCCUGGCUCCUGGAUUUGGCUUGGCCCAGCUCUGGCUGUUGAGGCUAUUUGGGGAGUGAACCAGUGCAUGGAAGAGUUCUCUAUCUCACCUCAUCUUUCUGUAACUCUGACUUUCAAAAUAAAUAGGUAAAUAUUAAAGGAAAGAAGGAAGGAAGGAACAAAGAAGGAAGGAAAAAACAGACACAGGGGGGUGAGGGAAAGGUAAAGCACAGUUUUAUUGAAGUGAACAGAGACAGCUCUCAUAGCUAAGUGUCACAGCAAGAGGCACUUUGUGAAACAGGCCUUAUUGAAAGGAACAGAGAGAAGGCUCCUGAGAAGUAGUUGGAAGGGGGAUUUUCUUAGCAAGAACAAAAAACUGAUGAAAGGAAAUGAUCUGAGGGGAGUGGGAUGAUAAGUCUUUUGAAGACAUCGGCUAACUGUGCUGAGAGGGACCAAACUCAAGCAAACCUCUGAUCUAUAAAUUCAACUGCUGCAUUUUUAUAAAUACAUGUAAAUUUCCCGUUGUUAUAUUUGAUCUUGAAAUGAAAACAAAAACUUUAAAAAAAGAAAAGAAAUGAUCUGGGAAUUUAAGAAAAGUAUUAAUCCUGCUAUGAGCUCAUCCUGACUUCUCAUGCCCUAUAGCUACUCUUUGGUUAGUCUCUUGUCUUAGGUAUGUUAUCUUUGGUGUAGCCAAGCCCUUCUAUCUUGCUGUGCAUCACCUUGGGCUUGUUAGCUUACAAUCACAGGCUUUCCUCUCUUAGCCUGUUAAUUUAGUCUCAAGGCUUUUAUUUUUUAAGUUCCCUAUCUGGUUUUGGCAAAGUAUAUCUCUUAAAUGCAUGGCUUUGUGUAGUUUAGUAACUAGAGGCAAAGGGCACCCUCCUCACCGUGCAGUCCUAAGUCCAAGUCUAAUUCAACCUAGCUUGCUUUCUCCUACCUAUAUCAAACUCCCAGCAGUGUCCAUAUGUUCAGUUAUCCAGGAGCUCUCAAAAUUCACUUUUGGAUUUUUACAGAAGUGUCAUUACAUUGGCAUGAUUAAUUAAAUCUAUGCCCAUGAAAGGGGAAGUGUUGUGGUGCACCUGGUUAAGCUGUCACUUGUGACAAGCUAAACAUCAAAGUACUAGUUCAAGUCCCAGUAUGAGUUAGAAGGGUCAAUAGGUGAUUAGGGAUGGCCCCUGUGGGAAUAGGGAACAAGGUGUUUGUAUGAAACUGCCAUCUUCUGAUUAGACAAAAGACAUUACCCCAAGAAAAUAAGAUUGAUAGGUGUAAGGACAAAUUUUUAGGAUGAAGAGGCUUGUAUCUAGGUUUGGCUCUGGUAAACAAAUAACUUGUCUGCUGGAUGAGCUUCUCCUGCUUCUUGGGAGCCUGGCCAGUUCCCAGGGAAGAGGGUAAAGGAAUGUUUCUGAUAAACAGGUGGGCAUGCUUCGUGUCUCAGCUCUCUGGCCAAGAUCCGAGACGGGAUGCAUUGCUUGCCUAAAAUCUUGGCAAUGGGCCACCCUUGUCCUUGGGGUCUUUAAGAGGGAGCCAGAUCAAGCCUCUGCUGCUGCUGUUCCAUCCUGGGGGAACAUGCAGUCAUGCUGAACGUUGAACGUGCCCGUGACGAUUACUGAUGAUGUUUGGUUCUCAGCAUGGAUCCUUUACCGGUACUGUGUGAAGAUCGCCUAGUGGUAAAUUCCUGGGUUGAGUCCCCUACUCUUAGGGACUCUCCCCCCCCCAUUCUCUCUCUCUCUCUCUCCCUCUCUCUCUCUCUCCUGCUUCUUAAAAUUUGCUACUUAAAUAAACUACUUGUUUCUUUAUACUACAAGGCUUGCAGAGUAUUUCUUGUGGAUCGAACUGAAAGUAAAUAAGCCUGUGCACAGCAGACAGCUAAAAAAUAAUUUGCUAUCACAAUAGGAAUGUAAUGAGUCCCAUACCCACAGGUAACCAUAUGAGAAACUACUGUCAUUUUACUGGAACACACCACAAAGCAGCAUGUCUCAAGUGCUUAGCAACUGAAAAGUUUUAAUUCUCAAGUCAACAAUAUUUCUCAAUUUUCACAUGUCCCAAGUGGUCAACAUGGUAACAUUUGUUAACUAGUCAGGAACAAUGACCACUAGGUGAGAGACAUAGAAUCGCUUCUUGGCCUUUUGGCUAAGAUCAAGUGUGAGAGACAUAGAAAAAACAAGGAUGACUCAUGAUGUAUUUAAACUAUGUAAAAUAAUUGAUCAAUUGAUAUGCACUCCCUAUAUAAGCUCCCGGUACCCAGACCUUGAUGGACAACACCCUGGGAGGAACCCCUCUUGGGUACCAGGAGUCUCUGUUUCUCAAUAAAAUCUACUUUCACUUGCUUUGCUCACACUCUCUUCCUGUUCAUGUCUUAAUUCUUCAUCACCAUAAGAAAAAGAACCAACUCUGAAUUCCUAUAAUAGCUGUCUCACUUCUGAUCAGCUUCCUGCUGAUGCACCAAGGAAAGCAGAUGAUAGCUUGGGCACCUGAAACCCAUGUGGGAUAUGUGGAAGGAGUUCCAGGGUCCUGGAUUUGGCCUAGACCAGCCCUGGCCAUUGUGGACUUUUAAAGAGUGAAACAAUGAAUUGAAGAUGUCUCUUUCAGCCUUUCAAAUGAAAAACUAAUUUUUUUCAAAUGGUCAUUGGUUUAUCAAUUCUACCUUCACUCUCUUUCCUCUCCCAGAAGUUAGGGGUGGGGAAGUAGGAUUAAACUUCCAACACUUUAAUCACAUAGUUGGUUCCCCUGGCAACUAGCCCCCAGUUACAGUUAUUUCAUUAGAGUACAAAAGAUUCACCUUCCUAUGUUAAGGUAGACAGGUAGACAUUAGUCUGUGUGUGUGUAAGGGAAGCUGAAAGAAAUGGUAAUUUUGUGUGGAUGGAUGAAGAAAUGUAGAAGCAAGCAUUGGGAGCAGACCAGCAUUACAUAUGUAAAGUAUUGCUGUUGUUCAAUGGCUUUGUUGGGUGAGUCUUUCCUGUAGUUGAAUAAGAAAUCACAUCAAAAAUUUGUUUUUAAAGAUUUAUUUAUUUAUUUAUUUAUUUGAAAGCCAGAGUUAUAGAGGCAGAAGCAGAGGCAGAGAGAGAGAGAGAGAAUUCUUGGGCUGGCACUGUGGCACAGUGGGUUAACGCCCUGGCCUGAAGCACCAGCAUCCCACAUGGGUGCCGGUUCUAGUCCUGGCUGCUCCUCUUCUGAUCCAGCUCUCUACUAUGGCCUGGGAUAGCAGUAAAAGAUGACCCAUGUCCUUGGGCCCCUGCACCCAAGUUGGAGCAGCUCAGGCUGUUGCAGCCAUCUGGGGAGUGAACCAUCAGAUGGAAAAACUCCCUCUGUCUCGACCUCUCUCUGUAACUCUGUCUUUCAAAUAAAUAAAAUACUCAUUCAAUGGUUCAUCCCCCAAAUGGCUGCAGGGGCUGGAGCUGAGCCAAUCCAAAGCUAGGUGCCAAGAGUUUUUCUUUCAGGUCUCCCAUCCCACAUGGAUGCAGAGUCCCAAGGACUUGUGCCAUUUUCGAUUGCUUUCCCAAGCCAUAGCAGAGAGUUGGAUUGGAAGUGGGUCUCGUACCAGUGUCCAUAUGGGAUGCCAGCACUGCAAGUGACAGCUUUAUCCCCUAUGCCACAGCACUGUCCCUGUAUCAAAAGUCUUGUCAUUGUUCAAUAACUUUUUUGGGUGUGUCCCAACCCUCUCCCUGGGGGCAGCUCAGGGAGAUCUCAUCUGUCCUGCACAAAGGUGGCUGUUAGGUCCAUUAUAAAGCUCUGAGGAAUUUUAGGAAUUCCAUCCUCAGAAAGCCCUCCACCCAGCAAUAUCCCAGAAAGGAUGGGAGGGAGGGAAAAUGGAGGGCCCAUAUCCAAAUCCAUAAAAAACUCCAGUGUGAAUGCAGACUGGACUCAGUUUUUUUCCUUAGAUGCCCACGUGGUCUAUUAGGUGUACUCUCUUCAUUACUUCUCUUCAUUAAACUUGGCUGGAAUGCUUGCUGCUACUCUCUGUUUCACAACUGAAUUUUCUCUUGUGCAAAGAUAAGAACCUCCUAGUAGCCAUAUCUGGAAACAUCUGGAAAAAAACUUAUUCGUGGCUUAGGCAGCACUUUUCUUAGGUACUCUAAUAAUGGCUCUACUCCCAACCUGUAUAUAUUGAUGGCCCUCUCCCCCACUUAAUGUUGUAUGAUUUCAGAAUUUCUCUACAGACAACCCCUCUACCUGCAAAAGUUAAGCGGCCUUUUUCCCGGUCUUGGUUGGGAUCGGCUUUAAACCACAUCCAUCAAACAGUCCUCACAAGGGUCCAGAGACCCCCCCCAUUUCCUCUCCUCUAUGAAAUUCUCUCAUUACCUGGUUAAUGCCACUCUUAGGAUCAUUUGUUGCUAUUCUUGUGCUGUCUUUUAUGCUACAGUGUCUGUUUAAGUGUUUACAGGUGUUGAUAAUGGAACGAACCAAGGUCUUCACCAACCCAGUGGUCUACCAAAUGCUGCUACAGGGAUAUACUCAGCUCCCCACCCAGGAGACAGCAGCUUGAGAUAUUGCCCCAUGCUAGCAAAGAGUACCUCGAUGCCCCAUGUCAGCAGGAAGUAGCUCUAAAGACAGAUCAUCGUCCCUCUACCCCUCCUGGACUUUUGGGACAAAUGUAAUUCCAUACAACUCCUGUUGGGAAUAUGGCACAGUUUUAUCCAUGGCACGAUCUACACCCCAACACCAUCUUAGGCUCUAGCCCCUGCUGCCAUUGCUGGAAGCCUGGUGUCCACAUGGCCCAACCAACGUUGUCAAGUUCCACACCCAUCCUAAUGGGAUUUGCUGCUCCUGCUUCCCUGCCCACCCUCUGGUAAAGUUUUAAAAGGAGCUGUUCCUGAACACAUGGCUCUCUCGCUGUCUCUCUGCUCUCUUGGCUUCUCUCUUGCUCCCCUCCCUCCUCUCUCUCUCUUUUUCCUCUCUCCUCUCUCCUCUCUCCUCUCCUCUCUCUUCUCUCUCAGCUCCUCUCUGUUCUCUCUCUUCUCUCCUUGCUAGCUCCUCUCCUCUCUUCUCUCUCUCUCUUACACUCUCCUUCUCUCUCUUUUUCCUUCUCCAUCCCUUCCCUCCGGUCCCUUUCCCUUACUCCAGUGUUUGGUGUGUUUUGUGAUGACCUUACAUAUUCAACUCCUUAAUCUUAAGUCCUUUAGUAUGUACUCAGUUCCUUCCUUAAUGCCAUUUAGUAGGACUUUUGUGGCUCUCCUAAAGACCCUCCUAUCCAGUGUAUCACCUCUUGGUUUAACUCACUCUUUGCUUUGAUUACUACAGUAGCUUCCUAAUUCUUGAUUCUAGUCCUACUCCUUCAACCCAUCCCUCACUCUGAUAAAAAAUGCCUUCUGGUAAAAUAAAAUCUUGGUAGGAGAGAGAUGAGGUCAGAAUCCUAUAGAGACUGCUCUGGGUUUAAAAAUAAUAACCAAAUUUCUUAUAUGUAAAUGUCUUCCAGACUACCUUGGAUUUUAAUUUUUCUCACCUUACCUCUCAAAGCCAUCCCUCUGUAGUCAAGCUGAUAUCUCUGCCUGAAACAACCUUCUUUAAGUACUUUUACCAUUCAGCUGUAAAAAAGAGCCCUGAGGGGAUUCAACUACAUAUUGAGUCCUUCACAGGCACUCACAACAGCCUUCAUCUCUGCAUUUGAGGAAAAGCUGGACAACCCCUCAAACCCCCCACAGAUCUGAACGCUGGCAGGACAGGAUGGAGGCCACUCCUCCUAGAGAAGAUGUUAUGUAUCUCUGUCAGAAAGUAUUUGUACGGAGCAGCUAUAUUGUGGUACGUGGCAGAGGGGGCCACAGAAGCAAGUUCAUCUCGCCGGUCGCGCUACGUGGCGCCGCCAUCUUGAGCAGAGAGGAAUCAUGAGCGCCGCCCUCUUGAACAGAGGUGAAUUAUGGGCCACGCCAUCUUGCGCGAAUGUGAGGAUAUUUCCGCUUCCGGCAAGGGGCUGUUCUCUCUUUUCCUCGGCAGGGCCGCGGCGGGAGUGGCAGCGCUGCUGGGCUCUCUGUGCUAUCCGGUGCCAUCCUCGUCGCUGCGGCGACACUCGCACCCGCUGCCGCCAUGACUGAGCAGAUGACCCUUCGUGGCACCCUCAAGGGCCACAAUGGCUGGGUUACCCAAAUCGCUACCACCCCGCAGUUCCCGGACAUGAUACUGUCCGCCUCUCGAG